RNAcentral lists this ribosomal RNA (109 nucleotides) under uncultured bacterium. RNAcentral describes it as "partial 16S ribosomal RNA". It matches the Rfam family "Bacterial small subunit ribosomal RNA", at positions 1373 to 1482 of the family's 1533-position model. The record is from RNAcentral.
CCCGGGCCUUGUACACACCGCCCGUCACACCAUGGGAGUGGGUUGUACCAGAAGUAGGUAGAAUAACCUUCGGGGUUCGCUUACCACGGUAUGAUUCAUGACUGGGGUG